RNAcentral lists this ribosomal RNA (908 nucleotides) under Fonsecaea pedrosoi. RNAcentral's name for it is "LSU rRNA". It matches the Rfam family "Eukaryotic large subunit ribosomal RNA", at positions 35 to 963 of the family's 3401-position model. The record is from RNAcentral. Lineage: Eukaryota; Fungi; Ascomycota; Eurotiomycetes; Chaetothyriales; Herpotrichiellaceae.
UUAGCAUAUCAAUAAGCGCAGGAAAAGAAACCAACAGGGAUUGCCUCAGUAACGGCGAGUGAAGCGGCAACAGCUCAAAUUUGAAAUCUGGCCUCUUGGGGUCCGAGUUGUAAUUUGUAGAGGAUGUUUCGGGUACCGCCUCGGUUUAAAUUUCUUGGAACAGAAUGUCAAAGAGGGUGAGAAUCCCGUCUUGGACCGGCGGUAGGGCCUAUGUGAAACUCCUUCGACGAGUCGAGUUGUUUGGGAAUGCAGCUCAAAAUGGGUGGUAAAUUUCAUCUAAAGCUAAAUAUUGGCCAGAGACCGAUAGCGCACAAGUAGAGUGAUCGAAAGAUGAAAAGCACUUUGAAAAGAGAGUUAAACAGUAUGUGAAAUUGUUGAAAGGGAAGCGCUUGCAACCAGACUUGAGCGCGGCGGUUCCCCCUUGCUUCUGCUUGGGUUACUCCGCCGUGUCCAGGCCAACAUCGGUUCUGGGGGUCGGUCAAAGGCUCUGGGAAUGUAUCUACCCACGGGUAGACUUAUAGACCAGGGUGUCAUGCGACCUCCCGGGACCGAGGAACGCGCUUCGGCUCGGAUGUUGGCGUAAUGGUUGUCAGCGACCCGUCUUGAAACACGGACCAAGGAGUCUAACAUCUAUGCGAGUGUUUGGGUGUCAAACCCGGAACGCGGAAUGAAAGUGAACGGAGGUAGGAAGCUUCGGCUGCACUAUCGACCGAUCCUGAAGUUUACGGAUGGAUUUGAGUAAGAGCAUAGCUGUUGGGACCCGAAAGAUGGUGAACUAUGCCUGAAUAGGGUGAAGCCAGAGGAAACUCUGGUGGAGGCUCGCAGCGGUUCUGACGUGCAAAUCGAUCGUCAAAUUUGGGUAUAGGGGCGAAAGACUAAUCGAACCAUCUGGUAGCUGGGUCUGCGAG